This 324-nucleotide ribosomal RNA is filed under the name uncultured eukaryote. RNAcentral describes it as "partial 18S ribosomal RNA". It matches the Rfam family "Eukaryotic small subunit ribosomal RNA", at positions 1470 to 1796 of the family's 1831-position model. The record is from RNAcentral.
CCCUUAGAUGUUCUGGGCCGCACGCGCGCUACACUGAUGCAUUCAACGAGUUUCUUCCUGGUCCGAGAGGAAUGGGUAACCUUUUGAAAGUGCAUCAUGAUAGGGAUAGACUAUUGCAAUUAUUGGUCUUCAACGAGGAAUUCCUAGUAGACGUAGUUCAUCAGACUGCAUCGAUUACGUCCCUGCCCUUUGUACACACCGCCCGUCGCUCCUACCGAUUGAAUGCUCAGGUGAGCCAUUCGGACUUUCAUCAUGCUGGUUUCCAGUUUUGAUGAAGGAAAGUCUUGCGAACCUUAUCAUUUAGAGGAAGGAGAAGUCGUAACA